Molecule: long non-coding RNA, 1092 nt
Filed under: Salmo salar (Atlantic salmon)
Lineage: Eukaryota; Metazoa; Chordata; Actinopteri; Salmoniformes; Salmonidae
Description: lncRNA (ENSSSAG00000119578.1)
Source: RNAcentral
UAAUCAGUUGUCUGCGUAUCUUUGAGCGUCAUUUUAUUGACCAAGACAGAAGACACUUGAAAGUCUGCAAUGGAGGCACUGAUUUACUGCUGCAUUGGGUUGAGUCAGUCAGUCAGUCAAGAUGGCAAGUUACAUGUCCUAAUUAACACACAGUUUAAUGCUCCAGUGAACUUCUGUGGUAGUCUGCAUAUAGACUUUUAACUGGAAAAUAGCUAGGUGACUGGUGGUGAACAGUAAUCUUAUAUUUACAGACAUGAUAUGUGCUUUGGCAAAGUGGGUGGGGUUAUAUCCUGCCUGUUUGGCCCUGUCCGGGGGUAUCAUUGGAUGGGGCCACAGUGUCUCCUGACCCCUCCUGUCUCAGCCUCCAGUAUUUAUGCUGCAGUAGUUUAUGUGUCGGGGGGCUAGGAGGACCUGAGCCCUAGGACCAUGCCUCAGGACUACCUGGCAUGAUGACUCCUUGCUGUCCCCAGUGCACCUGGCCGUGCUGCUGCUCCAGUUUCAACUGUUCUGCCUGCGGCUAUGGAACCCUGACCUGUUCACCGGACGUGCUACCUGUCCCAGACCUGCUGUUUUCAACUCUCUAGAGACAGCAGGAGCGGUAGAGAUACUCUCAAUGAUCGGCUAUGAAAAGCCAACUGACAUUUACUCCUGAGGUGCUGACUUGUUGCACCCUUGACAACUACUGUGAUUAUUAUUAUUUGACCAUGCCGGUCAUUUAUGAACAUUUGAACAUCUUGGCCAUGUUCUGUUAUAAUCUCCACCCGGCACAGCCAGAAGAGGAAUGGCCACCCCUCAUAGCCUGGUUCCUCUCUAGGUUUCUUCCUAGGUUUUGGCCUUUCUAGGGAGUUUUUCCUAGCCACCGUGCUUCUACACCUGCAUUACUUACUGUUUGGGGUUUUAGGCUGGGUUUCUGUACAGCACUUUGAGAUAUCAGCUGAUGUAAGAAGGGCUAUAUAAAUAAAUGUGAUUUGAUUUGAUAUGUACUUUUGUUAUUCGUUAUUCACUGUGUAUUUAUUCCAAUUGUGCAUUUCACUGUUAGUUUACGCCUGUUGUUUACGAAGCAUGUGACAAAUAACAUUUCAUUUGAUCUAG